Molecule: ribosomal RNA, 431 nt
Filed under: uncultured bacterium
Lineage: Bacteria
Description: partial 16S ribosomal RNA
Rfam family: Bacterial small subunit ribosomal RNA
Source: RNAcentral
AACGAACGCUGGCGGCAGGCCUAACACAUGCAAGUCGAGCGCCCCGCCAGGGGGGCGGCGGACGGGUGAGUAACGCGUGGGAACGUACCCUUUGCUACGUAAUAUCCUUGGGAAACUGGGAGUAAUACCGUAUGUGUCCUUCGGUAGAAAGAUUUAUCGUCAAGGGAUCGGCUCGCUUUGGAUUAGGUGGUUGGUUGGGUAAUGGCCUACCAAGCCGACCAUCCAUAGCUGGUUUGAGAGUAUGAUCAGCCACACUGGGACUGAGACACGGCCCAGACUCCUACGGGAGGCAGCAGUGGGGAAUCUUAGACAAUGGGCGCAAGCCUGAUCUAGCCAUGCCGCGUGAGCGAUGAAGGCCUUAGGGUUGUAAAGCUCUUUCAGGGGGGAAGAUAAUGACUGUACCCCCAGAAGAAGCCCCGGCUAACUCCGUG